UUAGAAAAUCUGAAACAAAGUGUGUGUUGGCAAAACUACUUAAUCUCAGAUGUGUUAACUUGGCCAAAUUAACUGAAACAGAUGGUGAGAAGCUUUUGUUCCUUAAGUCAUCAAUUGCUGAUUGCAUGAUCUUCAUAAUCUUUAAUAUUUUAAGACGCAGUCUCAGAACUCAGGUUUGUGCCCAAAGGAGAGAGAGAAUAAACUUGAACAUUCUGACUUUGAAGUGCUUGAACAUGAAAGACAGAGAAUUGACCAGAAGCAAGCGUCCUUAGAGUGGGGUCGUCAUAUUUGAGAAAUGUGCUACAGGGAUCUAGCACACUGCAUUGCCUCACAGCUAAAUUCCCACUGGAUUGUUGGUCUGAAUCACCGAUUGAAAAAUCAAAUGUCUUCAGGGACCCGGCAGGAUCCCGAAGGACGCCGCUCUAAGCCAGAGGGAGCGGUGUGUGUUGUGGCUGAAGUGGAAAAUACAAGCCCAGUUUAAGGGCAUUCAAACAUGAAUUGUUUUUUUUAAAGCCGUGCGAGUCAAACAAAACAUGUCAGCAGUUCUUAUUAGGCUAACAGGUUGCUGGUUU
This 572-nucleotide long non-coding RNA is filed under the name Homo sapiens (human). Its description in RNAcentral is "HSALNT0391287". Lineage: Eukaryota; Metazoa; Chordata; Mammalia; Primates; Hominidae. The record is from RNAcentral.